RNAcentral lists this ribosomal RNA (400 nucleotides) under uncultured bacterium. Its description in RNAcentral is "bacterial SSU rRNA". It matches the Rfam family "Bacterial small subunit ribosomal RNA", at positions 356 to 773 of the family's 1533-position model. The record is from RNAcentral.
GGGGAAUAUUGCGCAAUGGGGGAAACCCUGACGCAGCAACGCCGCGUGAGUGAUGAAGGUCUUCGGAUUGUAAAGCUCUGUCUUUGGGGACGAUAAUGACGGUACCCAAGGAGGAAGCCACGGCUAACUACGUGCCAGCAGCCGCGGUAAUACGUAGGUGGCAAGCGUUGUCCGGAUUUACUGGGCGUAAAGAGUAUGUAGGCGGAUAUUUAAGUCAGAUGUGAAAUUCCCGGGCUUAACCUGGGCGCUGCAUUUGAAACUGGGUAUCUAGAGUGCGGGAGAGGAAAGUGGAAUUCCUAGUGUAGCGGUGAAAUGCGUAGAGAUUAGGAAGAACACCAGUGGCGAAGGCGACUUUCUGGACCGUAACUGACGCUGAGAUACGAAAGCGUGGGGAGCAAAC